GAAAUGGGUUUUUUUUAGAGUUAGGGUUCACAUAUAAAAUUUUCAGCACACACAAAUAAGAGGAGAGACUAAGAGGAUCGGCUGCUGGAGAGAAGAUGGGCGACGGGGGCAGGGCAGCGACGGCGCCGACGGUCUCCUCGGCUCCAACACCUCAGCACGCGGCGGCAACGUGGGGGUUCUCGGAUGCUCCAGCACCUAACACCUCAGCACGCAGCAGCGACGUGGGGGGUUCUCGGACGCUCCAGCACCUAACACUGUUGUAAUGUAUACAUAAUAUAUAUGAAAUUGUUUAUGUAUAUAUAUACACACCCAAAUUUAUGAAACUUUAUAGACAACCCUUUAUAUGUAAAAUCUGUCCAUAAUUAUAUCUAUCUAUAUAUAUAUACACAUAUUCCAUGUGUCUGUAAGUAAUGUUCAAUGCCCCAUUUAUGUACUAUUUAAUAGGUAUGUAUUGGCAGGUUUGCAGCAAGUUUUUUCAAUGAAACUGCUCAAUGGAUCCAUGUAGAGAAAAUUGAGGAUGGGACUUGAGAAGCUAGCUUGCAAGUUAUGAUUAAACAGGUUUCAAGUUUGGUUCAUAGUCUCUCUCUUUGUUUCUUCUUGGCUGGUUGUUUAUCGAAUACAUUUUAGCGCCCCCUACUCAUUAAAAGGUUCACUUUCAUGAAAAAUAAUAAUAGUAGGUUAUUUUUUUAGCUUCAACUGUCCAUUGAUAUUUUUAGUUUCAUGUCAUUUUCUAGAAAGAACUAAAUCAAUAGUUUAUUGGCAAUAGGGAUGGAGGAAUUGUCAUUUCUUUUAACAACAGAAGGUUUUGGCAUAAAGGAUUUAACCAAUUUUGAUGUUAUUGUUGUGGUACACUUACAAAGUUAGGGUUCUACUUAGCAGAUCAAACUGCUUCAUAAAUUUGAGGUAAAUAUUUUAAUUUUUACAUGAUCUCUUUCGAGGACAAAGGUCGUUAUUUUUUGUUAGUCAGUCGAGUAUAGCUUUAAUGCAACUUUAUAUGUUUCCUAGUAAAGUUAUGUCAAAAUUUAGUUUUUAGUGGCUUUU
Molecule: long non-coding RNA, 1041 nt
Organism: Humulus lupulus (European hop)
Lineage: Eukaryota; Viridiplantae; Streptophyta; Magnoliopsida; Rosales; Cannabaceae
Exons: 3
Source: RefSeq, a predicted model, not a curated record